UAAAGGAUGGCAGAUAAAUGCCUAGACUUUAAGCGUCUAUCAUGACUUAGGUCUCCUUUAU
Molecule: transfer RNA, 61 nt
Filed under: Siphonaria pectinata
Lineage: Eukaryota; Metazoa; Mollusca; Gastropoda; Siphonariida; Siphonariidae
Description: tRNA-Leu
Source: RNAcentral